This 148-nucleotide ribosomal RNA is filed under the name Apicystis bombi. RNAcentral describes it as "partial small subunit ribosomal RNA". It matches the Rfam family "Eukaryotic small subunit ribosomal RNA", at positions 901 to 1048 of the family's 1831-position model. Lineage: Eukaryota; Apicomplexa; Conoidasida; Neogregarinorida; Ophryocystidae. The record is from RNAcentral.
GUAGCUAGAGGUGAAAUUCUUAGACCUACUAAAGACGAACUACUGCGAAAGCAUCUGCCAAGGAUGUUUUCAUUAAUCAAGAACGAAAGUUAAGGGAUCGAAGACGAUCAGAUACCGUCGUAGUCUUAACCAUAAACGAUGCCGACUA